RNAcentral lists this ribosomal RNA (238 nucleotides) under uncultured bacterium. RNAcentral's name for it is "partial 16S ribosomal RNA". It matches the Rfam family "Bacterial small subunit ribosomal RNA", at positions 15 to 245 of the family's 1533-position model. The record is from RNAcentral.
GAUCAUGGCUCAGGAUGAACGCUAGCUACAGGCCUAACACAUGCAAGUCGAGGGGCAGCAUGAUUGAAGCUUGCUUCAAUUGAUGGCGACCGGCGCACGGGUGAGUAACACGUAUCCAACCUUCCGCUGACUCGGGGAUAGCCUUUCGAAAGAAAGAUUAAUACCCGAUGGCAAAGGAUUUCCGUAUGGAUAUUCUUUUAAAGGAUUCCGGUCAGCGAUGGGGAUGCGUUCCAUUAGA